Molecule: transfer RNA, 76 nt
Filed under: Actinobacteria bacterium IMCC26207
Lineage: Bacteria; Bacillati; Actinomycetota; Actinomycetes
Description: tRNA-Phe
Rfam family: tRNA
About the family: Transfer RNA (tRNA) molecules are approximately 80 nucleotides in length.
Source: RNAcentral
GGUCGGGUAGCUCAGUUGGCAGAGCGACCGCCUGAAAAGCGGUAGGUCCGGGGAUCGACGCCCCGCCCGACCACAA